AUUGGGUAUAUACUUCUUACUAGGCAAAUUGUUGAAUGUGUACACUGAUAUGUAAGCUUUGAAAUGAUGAUUUUGGGGUGAGAGAAAAUUGAUAAAACAAUUACACAACAAUAUCACAGAUUUGAUAUAUAGAAGAGAAUGAAAUUUUUAUGAUGCGUUGGUUUAUUGAUAAGUGUGUAGUAUUUUUUUGUGUCGUAUAUAGUUUUGUCAUUACGUAAUUAUUCAAUGUUUGUUGUUUACAUGAAUGUAUUGUGGUUACUUUAAAAAGUGUAACUAUACUUAGUAUACUGUGAGAUCAAAAGCCUUGGAAAUAAGACUAGACUUGGGCUGAUGCCAUAAAUCAUGGGUUGCUGAGAAGCUUUCUUCCUUUUUGUCAAGAGGACUAUGCCCAAAGAUGCUUUAAGUCUUGAGGUGAUUGGCUAGUGCCUUUCCUUGACAUGAUACCUUGACAUUACCUUUCAAACCUGUUUGUGUGCUUGAUUAAAUGGAGAAAAUUAUUCCAAGAAUCUGCUUAACAAUGCUACUUUUGAUUUAUUUUAUUUUGGAUUCUAAACAGGGGAAUAAGCUUCAACUGAUAUGUUGACAGUUUUAUAUUACCCAAAGAUAGUGCAAAAGCAUUAUGUUUGACCAAUAGAUAGCACUCGUAACUUCCUUUGACUACUAUCCUCCCUCCACCCUAUUGACCAAUUGAAGAGCAUAAAAAAAAGUUCGAUGUGGCAUGAGCCUUAAUUGUUGGCUUUCCCAUCUAUGGUAAUGUAUAUAUUGGAAAGCAAUAUGACAUAUUGUUCCCCCGAUUUACUCUCUCUCCACAGUAUUGGUACUUGAUAUUAAGGUUCAUACAGGAUAUUUGGGUUCUCUCUUAGUACCCUAUCAAUAGUGUUAUGAAAUAUUUUACUUAGAAUUUGGUUAUUACAUAUUAGUCAGGUUAAAAAGAUAAUAUUAUCUUAGUGGAUUGGCGGCAGUCAAUAAUCCAUAACUUCAGGCGGAGGAGGGAGCACUUUCAAAUAGUAUUUCUAAUCUAAUGCUAUUUUUUCAUUCAUUAGUUUGUAAUUUUGUUAGACUGAAUGCCAAUCAGGUAGCCUGCACAAGUGCCCGUCAUACGCUGUUUAUGCCAAGAGCUGGAGGUGUGGUUUGUCUUGAAAACUUUCCAAACAUCAUAACUAAUGUAGAACUUGCUGAUUUAGCUGAUGACUAAAUUACUACGUUUCAGUUUAAAGAAAGACAAAGAAUAAAGAAAGAAAGCAUUGUUGGUUUUAGUUUCUUGCAAAUGCUUUAAAAAUGUGUUAAAUUUGGAAAUUUAUUUUCAGCAUUCAUGAGUUUAGUGAUGCUGUGCAUCAUAUGCACACUUGUUAUAUGACAAUGUUGAAAUGCUUAUAUGCUAGGAAUCUGUGUUAUCUGUCUAUUAGUACUAUCAUUUCCCCUCAUUUUGGAUGCUCGUGAGUUUUUCAUGUAAUAUUAGCGUGAAAUGUAGUACUAGUUGAUCAUGAAUUCAUAGUGAAAUUCUUGCUGACAUUUUAACAUCUUCCAAUUGAUGCAGGUAUCAUCUUUCUUCUACUUCUGCAAGUUGAUCGUUCCACAUUUCUUGACCAUGGCCAUUGGCAUAGCAUUAGUUGUUGCGUUCACAUUGUUCUUUGUGUAUGAGCAAUAUGAGGACGAAAUUGAUGGGAUGGCAAAGGUUGUAAUCAACCGUUUGAGGAAGGCUUGAUCUCUUUUGCAAGGAAUCUACCAAUGCCGUUGACCUCAGUUUUAUCAGAUUGUGAACCUUUGAAAGAGAAGAAAUCUUUGUGAUUUGUUUGAUAACCUGCAAUUAGAGCUCAUCCAUCCUUUACGUGCCUACUAACUUUGAUCUUUGAUUUCUCUUCCGAUUGUAGAUAUUGUAUACAAUAGCUUUUGGAGUUACAUGGCGAAAGAGCCAUAUUUUCUCUUUUGAGUAGGUUGUAGAUGGAAGUGUUAUUGAUUAUAACCACUAGUGGAAUUACAAAAUAAAUGAAUUGAAGUUAAUACUAUGUAUAGCGGAUUCACUUCUAC
Molecule: long non-coding RNA, 2028 nt
Organism: Olea europaea var. sylvestris
Lineage: Eukaryota; Viridiplantae; Streptophyta; Magnoliopsida; Lamiales; Oleaceae
Exons: 2
Source: RefSeq, a predicted model, not a curated record